Molecule: unclassified non-coding RNA, 307 nt
Filed under: Hevea brasiliensis (rubber tree)
Lineage: Eukaryota; Viridiplantae; Streptophyta; Magnoliopsida; Malpighiales; Euphorbiaceae
Source: RNAcentral
GUUUUGGAGAAUAUUUGGGGCGAACUCGAUGGUGGACGUGACCGACGAGGUGGUGUGUCUUGGAUUUCUUGAUGGAGGAAUCAGGCCGAGGACUUCGAUUGUGAUCGGCGGGCAUCAGAUUGAGGAUAAUUUGCUGGAGUUUGAUUUGGAGCGGUCAACGCUGGGGUUCAGCUCGUCGCUGCUGUUCAGACAGACUACAUGUGCUAACUUCAAUUUCACAUCUAAUGCUUAGAUGUGAAGUCCAGUUGUUCUUUGCCUAAGGUUUACCAAUAAUUGAAUGGGUUCUGUUCCAAUCUGUUUGGUCGCG